Lathyrus oleraceus (garden pea) is the source of this 1684-nucleotide long non-coding RNA. RefSeq lists it as uncharacterized. Lineage: Eukaryota; Viridiplantae; Streptophyta; Magnoliopsida; Fabales; Fabaceae. The record is from RefSeq and is a predicted model, not a curated record. The transcript is spliced from 3 exons.
AGAAAAGUGUAUUAAAUAAUAUUGAAAAUAGAAUAAAUGUAAACAAUGAGAAUUAAAAUCAGUAAACAAUGAGAAUUAAAAUCAGUAAACCUAUCACCAUUCACUUCCUUUCUUCUUUCACGCUCGAUCAUCCUUCUCUCUCUCACUCUCGAUCUCUUACCAUCUCGCCACUCUCGAUCGCUCUAUCUCACACCUCUCUCGCUCAUGUCAUCUCUCAAUCUCAACCUCAUUCACAAACUUUCACUCUACAUGCCAGAAAAACAAAAUGCUUUAAAGAGAUUCAAGCAGUAAAACUCACCUUCGGCGGUGGUCCGGUGGUAAUGACGAUGCUUGGAUCUUCCUCCCGUCGCCGCUCAACUCUUCUAGCUCUAGGGCUUUCGCUCUCUGAAAACUUUAGGUUUUUUUUUUGGCUGAUUGAAGUUAGGUUUUUCGUCGCCGCUCCUAAAAAACUCUCCUUUUUUUCUACAGCAUCCGCCUCUUUUUAUACCCAAUCAGUUAGGGUUUUCGAGCUAGCUAUGGAGAUUAAAAAGGGAAACCUCUUGGAAGUGCUUUUAGGUGCUCAGCUUUGCCUGUCUCGCUUGAUACUUAAAUCUGGAAACGUAAAAAUUGGUGAAAAGAAACACUUCGGUUAUUUGCAAAGCUCAACUAUUGCUACUACCAUGAACUUCUAGGUGUGAAGAAGUGCUAGCUAUCAAGGAUGAAAAUCAGUUCCGUUAUAAGCUAAUGUUAAUGUUAGUAGGUGUUGCAGGUUGAAUGUGUUGUUGCUAAUGUGUUUGCUGUUGGCUUCGAGAAACGGCGGCUGCGUUUGAAAUUAUGUCGCUUAAAUACAGGUUUUGUGGGUUAGUUAGAGGUGUUAGAAAUAUGGUGGAGAAUUUCAUUAAAAAAAGAGGGGUUCUGUUUUUUGAACUGAGCUUCUAAAAGAUUCUAAUGUUAUAUUAACAGUUAGGAAAUAAGUUGUUGUUAUUCGUGAUUGUUAUUAUCAUACUGAAAGAGAUUAAUCUUCUAUUAUCUUGCUGACUUUCCUGAUCGCAUUGUGAUGUUUACAAGGGAUUUGCUGUGAAACUGAUAUGAACCAUUGCCACCAGGUUGUUCUGUUACGAACCUUGUAGAGAAUGUUGGCUAUUGUGCCUGAAAUUGGGCUUGAAAUUGUUCAGGUUUUGGAUACUGAUUGGGUAAUAGGAUUGUGUAUAGAUGGAAUUAGAAAUGAUUGUAAUUUUGAACAUAUUUGUUUCAGGAAUGAAUAGGAAGUUUGAAGGUUAUUGGUUAGCUUGGAAAUUUCGGCUUGGAUGCGGCUAUGAAGCGCAUUGGAUGGCGGGGCUGUUUUGGAAUUCUGUAAAGCUUCUUCAUGUUCCACGACUUCAAUAGAUGAAUUGAUCGAGCGACAAGCAGCAGCAGCGGAUUUAACUUUUAGCUGACCAAUAUAUGCUUCCGUGUGUAUAAUCUGUCUAUGCAUAUUAUUCAACUCAAACUUGUCAUGAUCAAGAACAUUGUAUCUAUGAAUCAUGUGAGGUUCUAAUCCAUUUGUAGCGUACCGUAAAGUUUUAAAAUGCCGGAGAUUAGCUUUAGUGCCUCAAAUUUGUAGUUUCCGUUUGUUUAUGGUUGUUUGUAAUUAGGUGCCUAGUAUAGUCCUUAAUUUUUUGUAGCUGUAUAGCUUUAUAAUAUGAAGCGUGAUUAUUCUAUUCCA